RNAcentral lists this ribosomal RNA (243 nucleotides) under uncultured bacterium. RNAcentral describes it as "partial small subunit ribosomal RNA". It matches the Rfam family "Bacterial small subunit ribosomal RNA", at positions 26 to 285 of the family's 1533-position model. The record is from RNAcentral.
AGAAUCAACGCUGGCGGCGUGCCUAACACAUGCAAGUCGAACGAGAAAGUGGAGCAAUCCAUGAGUAAAGUGGCGCACGGGUGAGUAACACGUGACUAACCUACCCUGGAGUGGGGGAUAACUGAGGGAAACCUUAGCUAAUACCGCAUAACACUUACGAGUCAAAGCAGCAAUGCGCUUGGAGAGGAGUUCGCGGCCGAUUAGUAGUUGGCGGGUAAUGGCCCACCAAGACGAUGAUCGGUA